This 521-nucleotide ribosomal RNA is filed under the name uncultured Glomeromycotina. RNAcentral's name for it is "SSU rRNA". It matches the Rfam family "Eukaryotic small subunit ribosomal RNA", at positions 570 to 1094 of the family's 1831-position model. The record is from RNAcentral. Lineage: Eukaryota; Fungi; Glomeromycota.
GCAGCCGCGGUAAUUCCAGCUCCAAUAGCGUAUAUUAAAGUUGCUGCAGUUAAAAAGCUCGUAGUUGAAUUUCGGGACCAACUAACUGGUCGUGCCUAUGGUACGUACUGGUUUUGUUGGUUUCUCCCUCUGAGGAGCUGCGAUGUCAUUAAUUUGGUGUCGUGGGGAAUCAGACUGUUACUUUGAAAAAAUUAGAGUGUUUAAAGCAGGCUAACGCUUGAAUACAUUAGCAUGGAAUAAUGAAAUAGGACGUUUGACCCUAUUUUGUUGGUUUCUAGGAUCGACGUAAUGAUUAAUAGGGAUAGUUGGGGGCAUUAGUAUUCAAUUGUCAGAGGUGAAAUUCUUGGAUUUAUUGAAGACUAACUACUGCGAAAGCAUUUGCCAAGGAUGUUUUCAUUAAUCAAGAACGAAAGUUAGGGGAUCGAAGACGAUCAGAUACCGUCGUAGUCUUAACCAUAAACUAUGCCGACUAGGGAUCGGAUGAUGUUAAUUUUUUAAUGACUCAUUCGGCGCCUUACGGG